Molecule: ribosomal RNA, 408 nt
Filed under: uncultured bacterium
Lineage: Bacteria
Description: partial 16S ribosomal RNA
Rfam family: Bacterial small subunit ribosomal RNA
Source: RNAcentral
GACGAACGCUGGCGGCGUGCCUAAUACAUGCAAGUCGAGCGAAGCGGCGGAUGGGUGAGUAACGCGUGGGUAACCUGCCCUUAAGUCUGGGAUACCAUUUGGAAACAGAUGCUAAUACCGGACACUAAAGGAGGGACCUGGGAUGCAUUAGCUAGUUGGUAAGGUAACGGCUUACCAAGGCGAUGAUGCAUAGCGGGGUUGAGAGACUGAUCGGCCACAUUGGGACUGAGACACGGCCCAAACUCCUACGGGAGGCAGCAGUAGGGAAUCUUCCACAAUGGACGCAAGUCUGAUAGAGCAACGCCGCGUGAGUGAAGAAGGUUUUCGGGUCGUAAAGUUCUGUUGUUGGUGAGGCGGUACUCGCACAGAAAGCAACGGCUAACUACGUGCCAGCAGCCGCGGUAAUUC